Molecule: ribosomal RNA, 253 nt
Filed under: uncultured bacterium
Lineage: Bacteria
Description: partial 16S ribosomal RNA
Rfam family: Bacterial small subunit ribosomal RNA
Source: RNAcentral
UACGGAGGGUGCAAGCGUUGUCCGGAUUUAUUGGGUUUAAAGGGUACGUAGGUGGCCUUAUAAGUCAGUGGUGAAAUGCUGCAGCUUAACUGUAGCACUGCCAUUGAUACUGUAGGGCUUGAGUGUCGUUGAGGCAGGCGGAAUUUAUGGUGUAGCGGUGAAAUGCAUAGAUACCAUAAAGAACACCGAUAGCGAAGGCAGCUUGCUAAGCGACAACUGACACUAAUGUACGAAAGCGUGGGUAGCGAACAGG